GAUGAACGCUAGCGAUAGGCCUAACACAUGCAAGUCGAGGGGCAGCAUAAGGAAGUAGCAAUACUUUCUGGUGGCGACCGGCGCACGGGUGAGUAACACGUAUGCAACCUGCCUUCAACAAGGGCAUAACCCGUUGAAAGACGGACUAAUACCCUAUAAUACAGGGGCCCCGCAUGGGGAUAUUUGUUAAAGAUUUAUCGGUUGAAGAUGGGCAUGCGUUCCAUUAGCUGGUUGGUGGGGUAACGGCCCACCAAGGCAACGAUGGAUAGGGGAACUGAGAGGUUUAUCCCCCACACUGGUACUGAGACACGGACCAGACUCCUACGGGAGGCAGCAGUGAGGAAUAUUGGUCAAUGGACGCAAGUCUGAACCAGCCACGUCGCGUGAAGGAAGACGGCCCUACGGUUGUAAAGCUCUUUCGGACGGAAAGAAAUCGCCGCCUCUAACAUAGGCGGUGGAUGACGGUACCGUAAGAAGAAGCACCGGCUAACUACGUGCCAGCAGCC
This 506-nucleotide ribosomal RNA is filed under the name uncultured bacterium. Its description in RNAcentral is "bacterial SSU rRNA". It matches the Rfam family "Bacterial small subunit ribosomal RNA", at positions 28 to 516 of the family's 1533-position model. The record is from RNAcentral.